CCCUUAGAUGUUCUGGGCCGCACGCGUGCUACACUGAGUGGAUCAGCGGGUCAGGUUGCGCGAAAGCGUUUCCUAAUCUUUAAAUCCGCUCGUGAUGGGGAUUGACGGUUGCAAUUUUCUGUCAUGAACGAGGAAUACCUUGUAAGCGCGGGUCAUCAUCCCGCGCUGAAUACGUCCCUGCUCUUUGUACACACCGCCCGUCGCUCCUACCGAUUGAGUGGUCCGGUGAGGCUUUGGGAUCUGAGCGGAAAGAGCGUUUCGCUGUUUCUGCUCGGAAAACUCAGUCGAACCUUAUCAUUUAGAGGAAGGAGAAGUCGUAACA
Molecule: ribosomal RNA, 322 nt
Filed under: uncultured eukaryote
Lineage: Eukaryota
Description: partial 18S ribosomal RNA
Rfam family: Eukaryotic small subunit ribosomal RNA
Source: RNAcentral